This is a long non-coding RNA of Heterocephalus glaber (naked mole-rat), 1077 nucleotides long. NCBI's taxonomy places the organism in Eukaryota, Metazoa, Chordata, Mammalia, Rodentia, Bathyergidae. The record is from Ensembl.
AGUUAAGCAUAUCAAUCUUCUCCAACAUCGAUCAUUUUUUUGUGAUAAAAGCCUUUAAAAUCUUUGAAGAUUUUUGAGAUGUACAGAAUGAUAUUGCUAUCUAUAGUCAUCCAACUAGGCAAAUAACAUAUUGGUAUUAGGCAUUUUCAAAGUAUUUAUUUUUAGCCAUUCUCUUUGGUAUAUAGUAGCUAAAUAAAGAGAAUUAGAUUUGAUUAAAUUGCAGUUUGUGACAGUGUACUUAUUUCCAGUCAAAACCAGAUUUUUAUGUUAUCCACUUUUUAAAUGUGGCACCCCAGAUGGCUAAUUAAAGUAAAUUUCUCUGAGGCAUUUGCUCUCCCAAAGUUGUCUCUUAUCUGCUCCAGCAAAGACUUCCCUGUUUGUCCUAUCAACCUAGGUCUUUAAAUUCCAAGAUAAGAUCAGUUAAUGAAGUCUGUGCAAAGCUUCACUUUGGCCUAUCUUGUUCCUUUUUUUUGCCUAAGCAUAUGAGGACCUUGGAAUACAUCUAUUAGUUAUCAGUAAGUAGUCCUUGGAUUAAAAGAUAUUUUGAAUAUAGAGGUGGCAUCCACUGAAGAUCUUGGAAGAACUCUGUCAAAUACUUAACUGGGAUGCCAUCUGAGUUGGGGUGUUCUGCAGAUAUUUUUGAGGAGUAAAAAGGGAGAUACACUUAUUUUAUAUCUUCAACCAUCUUUUCUCACCAAGUUAUAUGAAUGAUGUUGGCUGGAUCUUUGAUGGGUACUAUGUGAAACUGUUCAACAGACUGCAGCAAGUUUACAUGCAGCAACUACAAGCAAUGGAGGAUGUAAAAUUUGGACAAUCAAGUGAAGUUUUACAUUACAAUUUUUUUUUUGUUCACUGAAUUACUUAAACUUUGUACUUCGCACAAAGCCACUGAUGGCCGGUGUGAACUCCAGAAAUCAGAUUUCAUCACUUGAAUCUGUUUCACUUAACUUUACCUCUUCUGAACUGUUAGUUUGAGCAAGGGUUCAUGGGUUUUUCUAAAAGAUCAUUUUAGCAGAAAAAUAAAGCAAAUUUGUUGAACCUCAUUCCAUGAUUUGAGUUUUGCCUUAGGGGUCACUU